Non-coding RNA from Astyanax mexicanus (Mexican tetra), 360 nucleotides. Lineage: Eukaryota; Metazoa; Chordata; Actinopteri; Characiformes; Acestrorhamphidae. The record is from the annotation of a RefSeq genome assembly.
AUGAUUGAUCAUAUGAUCGAUAAUCCGUUUUAUGGUGACACUCGGCCCACCCUCACAGUGUUGCCCCCCUCCAGUGCUGAGCUGCAGCAGGGGAAGGCUACACUGGUGUGUGUGGGCAGUAAGGGUUUUCCCUCAGACUGGAAGCUGAGCUGGAAGGUGGGCGGGGUCAGUCCGAGCUCAGGUGUGAGUGGGGGCGGGGCUGUGCUGCAGGAGGAAAACGGUCUCUACAGCUGGAGCAGCACCCUGACCCUCACUGAGCAGCAGUGGAGGACCACCGGAGCAGUGAGCUGUGAGGCCAACAGGAGCAACCAACCCCCAGUUACCUACAGCCUCAACAAACAGCAGUGUCCUGAUUACUGA